Molecule: small nuclear RNA, 103 nt
Filed under: Chinchilla lanigera (long-tailed chinchilla)
Lineage: Eukaryota; Metazoa; Chordata; Mammalia; Rodentia; Chinchillidae
Source: RNAcentral
GUGCUCACUUUGGCAGCACAAGUACUAAAACUGGAAAAACACAUGAUUGGCACGGCCUCUGUGCAAGGAUGGCUUGCACAUUUGUGAAGUGCUUCAUAAUUUU